Molecule: ribosomal RNA, 490 nt
Filed under: uncultured bacterium
Lineage: Bacteria
Description: partial 16S ribosomal RNA
Rfam family: Bacterial small subunit ribosomal RNA
Source: RNAcentral
GAUGAACGCUAGCUACAGGCUUAACACAUGCAAGUCGCGGGGCAGCAUGGGGGUUGCUUGCAAUCCCCGAUGGCGACCGGCGCACGGGUGAGUAACGCGUAUCCAACCUGCCCUUCACCACGGGAUAACCCGGCGAAAGUCGGACUAAUACCGUAUGUUGUCCAUUGACGGCAUCCGAUUUGGACGAAAGGCUUGGCGGUGAGGGAUGGGGAUGCGUCCGAUUAGCCAGACGGCGGGGUAACGGCCCACCGUGGCUACGAUCGGUAGGGGUUCUGAGAGGAAGGUCCCCCACACUGGAACUGAGACACGGUCCAGACUCCUACGGGAGGCAGCAGUGAGGAAUAUUGGUCAAUGGGCGUAAGCCUGAACCAGCCAAGUAGCGUGCAGGAUGACGGCCCUAUGGGUUGUAAACUGCUUUUAUGCGGGGAUAAGGUGGCCCACGUGUGGGCUUUUGCAGGUACCGCAUGAAUAAGGACCGGCUAAUUCCGUG